CUCGUUCUUUUGAUCUAGGCAUGACAGUUGUGAAAAUAUCGACUUGUUGACCGCUUUGUUGAUCUUGUCACAAGAUUUUGUUACCGUAAAAAAUACAGGAUAAAGGAAGGGAUUGUUACAUCUAUGCAGCAACUUGUCAACGAAUAGUCAAGGUCUUGGCGGAUGUUUUGAGCGCACAGUAACAAACACUGGUCUAAGUGUAUCAACGCAGGAAGCUACAAGAUACAUGUGAUUACAUCUGCUGAUCGGAAGGAGUUGCUGAGGAUGUAAAAAACAAGCCAUAUUUUGGGGAAAUGGAGUAGGAAGACGUUGGCUGGUUGCAGUGGCAUUUUAACAGUACCGCAGUAGAUGUUUAGGAAGUGCUGAUAGACAAAGCUAUGAUUACCUAGCAGAGCAAAACAGUUCCGCAAUCCAGAAUUCCAGAAACAAAUGAUGCAUCAUAGUUGGACUAGUGUAAACGGAAUUAAUGCAGUGGACUUUUAUUUGUUGGACAAUCCAUAUUAUUCGUUUGACAAUUGAUUUAUAAAGACACCUGUCAAAAUGUAUUAGGCAGGUAUAAAACAAAAUAAAAGGCUUCUUAUGGUCAACCUUCAUACUAUAGUAGCCUGCUGUCAGAAAAUUACCUCUUACAUUAUUUAGGUAAAAAGUAAAGGUGACAGGUAUCUCAUUACUGCAGACUAUCUGGAAUAAUGAUCUUUCCUCGGACAUUAAAUGUAAAAGCUAAUUGCAGGUGGCCAGUAGAUGAAACCUGUUAUUCUAGCGACCAGUAGGUUUAAGGUCAAGGUCGGGUGAGCGAUUAGGAUCGAUGAAUGUCCGUUGUCCGUCCGUUAAAUUUAGUCUGUUUACACUCUAGCAUCAACAAUUUUAAAGCAAUUUUAAUCAAAAUCAAAGGAAAAUCUUGUAAAAACUCUAGAGGUCACAUUUAUGAACAUAUCUUUCUGAAACUUGGUUAGAAAGUUUAUCUUGACGAUCUUUAGGCAAGUUUCGAAACUGGUUCAAGUGAGGUCAGAAACAAGGUCACUUGGCCAGAUUAAAGGAAAAUCUUGUUAACUCUCUGGAAACCACUUUUUAAAUUUGAAACUCAUGAUAGUCAGAUUUUUUUGUCCUGAUAACUUUUAGGUUAAAUUUGAUUCCGUGUCGAAUCAAAGGAAAACUGUAUGUGUGUGUGUAAUAGGGUGUGCAUUUUACACUGAAUCUUCAUGAAAUUUGAUCAGAAUGUUUACCUUGCUGUAAUCAAGGUCAGCUUUGAAUAUGGGUUAUCUGGGUAAAAAACUAGGUCACCCGAUUAAAUCAAAGAAAACUCUGUGUGUAUGCAAUAGGGGCUGCAUUUUAUACUGGAUCUUUAUAAAAUCUAAUCAGAAUGUUUGUCUUGAUGCAAUCUAGAUCAAGUGUGAAUAUGGGUCAUCUGGGGUCAAAAAAUAGGUAACCCGGUCAAAUAAAAAAGAACAAAACCUUGUGUGCAAUAGAGGCCGCAUUUUUCACUGAUCUUCAUGAAAUUUGAUCAGAAUGUUUGUUUUAAUAAAAUCUAGGUCAAGUUUGAAUUUGUAUCAUCUGGGGUAAAAAAUUAGUUCACCUGGUCGAAACAAAGGAAAACUGUGCGUAUGCAAUGGGGGCUGCAUUUUUCACUGAAUAUUCGGUAAAUUCGAUCAGAAUGUUUGUCUUGAUUAUCUUUAGGCCAAGUUUGAAACUGGGUCAUGUGGGAUCAAAAACAAGGUCAUGAGGCCAGAAUUAAGGAAAAUCUUGUUAACACUCUGGAGACCACAUAAGUUUAAAACUCAUGAGAAUUAGUCAGAAUGUUUGUCUUGAUGACUUCCCGGUGAAAUUUGAAAAGUAGGUUACCCGAUUAAAAAUCAACGAGAAACCUAUAUAUGCAAUAGGGGCAGCAUUUAAAACUAGGUCUUCAUGAAGUUUGAUCAGAAUGUUCGUCUUUAGGAAGUCUAGCUCAAGUAUGAAUAUGGGUCAUCUGGGACUAAAACUGAGUCACCCAUUCAAAUAAAAUAACAUUGUGUUUGCAAUAGGGGCUGCAUUUUUCACUUGAUCAUUAUGAAAUUGGAUCGAUCAGUCUGUCUUGAGGAAAUCUAGGUCAAGUUUGAAUAUGGCUCAACUGGGUUCCAAAACGUGGUACCUGGUCGAAUCAAAGGAAAACUGUGUGUAUGCAAUAGGGGCUGCAUUUUAGCUCACCUGUCACAAUGUGAGCUUUUGUGAUCGUCCGUCCACUAUUGCUUGUGAACAUGAUAGAGACCUCAGUUUGCAAUC
Molecule: long non-coding RNA, 2256 nt
Organism: Mercenaria mercenaria
Lineage: Eukaryota; Metazoa; Mollusca; Bivalvia; Venerida; Veneridae
Exons: 4
Source: RefSeq, a predicted model, not a curated record